Molecule: unclassified non-coding RNA, 375 nt
Filed under: soil metagenome
Description: partial contains 5.8S ribosomal RNA, internal transcribed spacer 2, and large subunit ribosomal RNA
Rfam family: 5.8S ribosomal RNA (bases 1-119)
Source: RNAcentral
AUGAAGAACGUAGCGAAAUGCGAUAAGUAAUGUGAAUUGCAGAAUUCAGUGAAUCAUCGAAUCUUUGAACGCAUCUUGCGCUCCUUGGUAUUCUGAGGAGCAUGCCUGUUUGAGUGUCAUUAAAUUCUCAACUACACUGACUUUGAAUUGGUGUGGCUUGGAUUUGGGGGGAAAAUUGUUGUGGGCUUUUUGUAUAGUCUGCUCCCCUGAAAUUGAUUAGCGGUACCUUUGUGGAACUGUCUACAGGUGUGAUAAUUAUCUACAUCUUAGACAUCUGCUGGAAUGCUGCUUUCUAAACCUUACUUGUAUUGACAAUCUUGACCUCAAAUCAGGUAGGACUACCCGCUGAACUUAAGCAUAUCAAUAAGCGGAGGA